Molecule: ribosomal RNA, 501 nt
Filed under: uncultured bacterium
Lineage: Bacteria
Description: partial 16S ribosomal RNA
Rfam family: Bacterial small subunit ribosomal RNA
Source: RNAcentral
AUUGAACGCUGGCGGAAUGCUUUACACAUGCAAGUCGGACGGCAGCACGGGUGCUUGCACCUGGUGGCGAGUGGCGAACGGGUGAGUAACAUAUCGGAACGUACCCAGUAAUGGGGGAUAACUAACCGAAAGGUUAGCUAAUACCGCAUACGCCCUGAGGGGGAAAGCGGGGGACCGUAAGGCCUCGCGUUAUUGGAGCGGCCGAUAUCUGAUUAGCUAGUUGGUAGGGUAAAGGCCUACCAAGGCGACGAUCAGUAGCAGGUCUGAGAGGAUGAUCUGCCACACUGGAACUGAGACACGGUCCAGACUCCUACGGGAGGCAGCAGUGGGGAAUUUUGGACAAUGGGGGAAACCCUGAUCCAGCCAUUCCGCGUGAGUGAAGAAGGCCUUCGGGUUGUAAAGCUCUUUCGGCAGGGAAGAAACGGCCUAGGAUAAUACCUUGGGCUAAUGACGGUACCUGAAGAAGAAGCACCGGCUACUACGUGCCAGCCGCCGCCGUAA